UGAAAGUUUGAUUCUGGCUUAGCACUUAAAUAUAAGAUUAUUUUACAUGUAAAUUUUUGUGUUAUUAUUAAUUCUAAAUGAGGCUCAUUAAUUUCACAGUAUAUAGAUUUAUAAAUUAUUAAAGUUAGAUAUAGUGAUUUUAUUUAGAGUGGACAAAAUUCGUGCCAGCAGUCGCGGUUACACGAUUCACUCAGUUUAAGUCUCAAAAUUUCAGUUAUAAUUACAACAAUUAGAAAAUAAGUGAAUUUUGGUGAAAUAUAUUUAUUUAAGAAAUUGUUUCUUAUGUCUGGGAAACCUCAGUUUAAACUAGGAUUAGAUACCCUAUUAUUCAAAGGUGUAAAGCAAAUAAUUAGAUAAUUAAUAGUUAGGUUCUUUAAAUUCAAAGAAUUUGGCGGUAGUUUAUCUUCUCAGAGGAACCUGUUCUGUAAUCGAUAAUCCACGAUAUAUUAUACUUUAAAUAUACUUGUAUAUCUCUGUCAAGAAUGUUCUAUGAAGAGAUUUUCAUUGAUUUUAUAAAUAUAAUGUCAGGUCAAGGUGCAGUUUAUUUUAAAGUAGAAAUGGGUUACAUUUAUUAAUUAAUAGAUUGAUAUUUUAAUAAAAAUAACAUGAAAUAGGAUUUGAUAGUAAGUAGAUUAAGUUAAAUUAUCUGAAUAAAGCUCUAGAUUAUGCACACAUCGCCCGUCACUCUCAUCCUAAGGUGAGAUAAGUCGUAACAAAGUAGUUGUACCGGAAGGUGUGGCUAGAAUGA
Molecule: non-coding RNA, 748 nt
Filed under: Mendozana platypleura
Lineage: Eukaryota; Metazoa; Arthropoda; Insecta; Hemiptera; Cicadidae
Source: RNAcentral